AAGCCAAACAAAACAUUACGUCAUUUUAUAUAACCAAACACUGAAUAAAUAGUACAAUGGUAAAAUUAUAUUUUACAUAUUCUGAAUGUUCAAUGUUAAAUGUUCACCACAAACAGAAGGGUUUUAAAAGAUAAAUGUUUAUUAAGAGAUAUAAACUUUUUUCCAUUUUUCUUUUUUCUCUUUUUUUUUUUUUUUUUUUUUUUGGGGGGGGGGGUAUACAGUAAAAUCUUUAUCGAUACACUUGCUUUUUUUAACUUACAGAUAUCCUCAAAAUAAAAAAAUAAAACAUUUCUGAUCAUUACUUUAAAAAGGUUCUCUCUUGCAUAAACACUGCCCCCUUUAGCUGUUCUUUAAAAAUGGAAGGGUUUCAAAAACGCGCAACAGCGGGAAACCAGUCUCUGUUAUUAAAACACCCUGAGAAUGCACAUUAAUCUCUGUAUUAAAAAAAAAUUGUGCCUCUCUCAACAUUUACAUUUCUGUAAUGAAGCAUCCCAAAGGUAGCAAGGUAGAAGCUGUUGAGAUCAACUGAGCAUCUCCCUUUGCGAUUGGCUUACAGUUUUAACUUGGCAAAGUCAAAAAAAAAAAAAAAAUUCAUAUUAAAUCCAAUAAAUUUAAUCCAUAACAUUGGCAUUAUCCUUAGAAUUAAGCUUUACGUUCUAAUUAAAAAAGUACAAAUUGUCACAGUAAGUAAAUCUGCAUUGAGUUUUUGGUGUUAAUUCGGCAUACCGUGUACGGCAGCUUAAAUUGGCCCCUGUUCAUUGUUUCUGACAUAUUACAACAGCUUAAAAGUCAUACGUAAUUCCACACUUCCAUGCACCAACUUUCUGAAAGACAGGUGAAGACAGGAACAAUGCAUAUCGUUCUACAAAGUAUUGCACAUUACAUUUCACAGCAAGCUUCUUUUUUUUUUUUUUUUGUCGAUUAAAAGUUGUGGAUGAGAUCUAUUAGUAACUGCUGAACAGAAUAGUCAAAUACAGUGAUGUUUCUGAAUACAAAAGGCAAAUGUGAUUGGAAA
Sinocyclocheilus rhinocerous is the source of this 1015-nucleotide long non-coding RNA. RefSeq lists it as uncharacterized. The transcript is spliced from 2 exons. NCBI's taxonomy places the organism in Eukaryota, Metazoa, Chordata, Actinopteri, Cypriniformes, Cyprinidae. The record is from RefSeq and is a predicted model, not a curated record.